UGUAGGGCAUUUAUUCUUUUAUUUUUCUCUCACUCUGUGCCCCCGUUCUCCUCCUACUCUUCUCUUCUUCUCCUUUUUUUCCCGCUAUGUUCCCAUGCCCCAUUGACGAUGAUCCUUUAGCGGCCACCACUGCCUUCCAUACCCUUUUUACCUACUGCACCAUCAUGAAUUCAUGGUAUGCCGUAGCAUCGAGUCUAUCCCACAGUCCUUUAUGGCAGGGGUGGUCGAUGGUCGGAUCUUCAUGGCCGUAGACGGCAAUGGAGGUAUCAUUGUGGUGGAUUGCCACAAUCCAAUGGUGGAUUGUUGGUUACCGAGGCACAGAUGCGGUGCAAGAUGGCAUGGUAUGAUGCGGCAGUGGUGGGAUGGUGGAUGUAUGUGAU
RNAcentral lists this long non-coding RNA (380 nucleotides) under Elaeis guineensis (African oil palm). Its description in RNAcentral is "long non-coding RNA (EGUI_LNC035036)". The record is from RNAcentral. Lineage: Eukaryota; Viridiplantae; Streptophyta; Magnoliopsida; Arecales; Arecaceae.